AAAGAUUCUGGACAUCUUUUGUUUUCUUAAUGUGUUGCUCCUCAUUAUACACUCAUUUGAUUAAACCCCAAACAUGAAACCCACAUACCAAGUGUCACCAGCAAAUUCUAGCUAGUACAACCGUGCGAGUAAGGAUUAUUCCCAUCAAGUAGGGUCUGUUUAGUUUAUUUCCUGCUCUGAUACACAAGCUCUUAUCAGCGAAGGUCAUUCUUGAUGUGACCAAGAUCGCC
Molecule: long non-coding RNA, 230 nt
Filed under: Nicotiana benthamiana
Lineage: Eukaryota; Viridiplantae; Streptophyta; Magnoliopsida; Solanales; Solanaceae
Description: long non-coding RNA (NBEN_LNC000927)
Source: RNAcentral